CCAGCAUGGACCAGAACUCCUUAUAAAAUUCAGUUGGGAAUCUAUCUAGCCCUGGAGCUUUUUUAUUUGGCAUGUCUUGCAGAGCUUCAAGGGCUCAUAUCAUGCAAAAUCCACUUUUUAGACAUUUUGGAGCGUUCCUAUGACUCUAUGGGUCACAUAUACACACACUGAGCGCGGUAGAAAUGCAUUUCCUGCUUUUUUCACAUUUUGAAAACGUAAAUUUUCUCACCCAAUGAAAACAGCCACGACCUACUCUGAGGCCGUGUCCCAGUUGUCGUCACCUUGGUCGGAAGUUCUCCCUGCAAAUCCUGAACCACCACCUCCACAAUGAUCCCGAACCAAAACUGGACUUCCGCCAUUUCCCCCCUCUCACUCACCGUGAACAGACCAGCACGGCAGCGUUCAAGUCCUCCCAUAGAAAUAGUUCGGUUCUUGGGUGUUCUAACCAACACCAAAGUCUAUUCACUUUAACAAGGGAUCAACAAGUGAGGAUUUGUGGGUCACUUAUUUUUAACGGACCGGUGCCAGAAACACUGCCUCAGCAUUUAUACGUAUGUGCAUUUCAAACGAGGGUGCGUACAAUGCUGGAUUUGUUUAACGGCUCCUGUUGGAAAAAAAGGAUAUAUUCCUACAGUCCGUCAUCCACUCACUGAAGGAGCCACAUCCCAGUUACCUACAUGCAAGGAGGCUGUCAAACAGAGAAAUCACUGCAGACUGUUGGUACACGGACAUCUGCUGCCCAGCUCAGGAGUAAAGUACCUUUUUGUUUUGAUGAGGUGAUGGUGAGGACAGCCACAGCUUCCAUCUGGUAGAGGACUGCUUCCGCUCAGUCUUCCAAAUAGUGAUGAGAACAAGGAUCACCACAUCUCCCUGUUUACCCUACUUUCAUGCAUUUCGUCUGCAGGGCCCUGCAAAGGUUUCUGUUCCAAACUCCCAGACUUCUUAAUUAACUCAGUAACCUAUACAUUGCACAUUGGAGUGUGAAGGUAACAGUUUGUUCUAGCUUUGGAGUAGUGGUGCAUUUUUUUGGUUUACAAUAAAGUUGGCUUUAACUAUUA
This is a long non-coding RNA of Betta splendens (Siamese fighting fish), 1058 nucleotides long. RefSeq lists it as uncharacterized. The record is from RefSeq and is a predicted model, not a curated record. NCBI's taxonomy places the organism in Eukaryota, Metazoa, Chordata, Actinopteri, Anabantiformes, Osphronemidae. The transcript is spliced from 3 exons.